This is a long non-coding RNA of Pipistrellus kuhlii (Kuhl's pipistrelle), 4352 nucleotides long. RefSeq lists it as uncharacterized. NCBI's taxonomy places the organism in Eukaryota, Metazoa, Chordata, Mammalia, Chiroptera, Vespertilionidae. The transcript has 2 exons. The record is from RefSeq and is a predicted model, not a curated record.
GCCACAUGAUCUUGUUAAAGAGGUAACUUGACAAAUUAUUUUUAACAACAAAAAUACUUGAGUGCAUCGUGAAGUCUAACAACUCACCCUUCCAUCAUUGAGGAGAACUAUUGGUCCCCAGCAUUUCUUUGCAACACCUAACCAGCAUGAGAAGAGGUGUUUCUUGUCUCUCUGAGGCCUGUAGGACCUACUUUUGCACCAUUCAGUGUUGGCUAAUGAAAAACUGAAGUGAUAGCAGGCUGUGACGUUCCUCAGAUUCAAUGGGGUAUGAAGAGAAGGUGACCAUACCUUGUCUCUAAUUUCUGCUUUGAUGAAUAUGUUGGGGCAGGGCAUUUGCAUGUUUAUAGUUUGGAAGAAGAUACGUUUAUAAGGAGCAUCAGUAGGUGGUUUACUAAUUCAGCUGCUCACUCUGAGCAGCAUGGAACAGCUCCCUGAGUACUGACUGGAUGGAAGAAUGCUGCGCAGGACAUCCUCCAGCAGCCACCUUCCUCCCUGGCCUCUGCCUUCCAGCAUUGCUCACUCUGUCACUCAGUCAACAUCCAUGUAGGCUUCUAAGGUGCAGGAUGAAUUUGACUUAUUCUCUGCCUGAAAGCUCACAUCCCACUGGAUAAGACUGAUAAAUGCCAGAAUCUAAGUUCACAGUAAUUGCAAACUAGACUUUGUGCUGUUGGUGACAGAAGAUCUAAUAGGAGGUCAGGUUUGAGCUCAUUCUUUUGGAAGGUGAAUGAGCAUUGCAUAUGUGCCAAACGGAGUCUUCUAGCCGUGGGUAUGGCAAUGGUCCCGAGACAUGAAAGUCUAGAUUCAUGUGAGAUAGUAGCACCUGCCAAUCAGGUGGAAUGAUUGUAUUUUUACUGGUGACCUUCACAUGUACUGCAGUGGGGCUCCGGUAAUUAGUAAGUCAGUUUUAAUAUUUUAUAACUCUUCAACCAUAUAAUAUAAUUUUCUUUAUUUCACUGUUAUUUUCUUAUCUAAGGUCAGUAAUUUGCCUAUAACUAUAUAUGAAAGACAUUGAGUAAAACCUCUUCUACUGGUUAAAUUUUUCAUCUUAAUUAUCAACAAACAAGUAAGUAAAUAAAUUUAGAUCAGAUAGAGUGUCCAAAAAAUGUAGUAUAUGCAUUUUGAAUGAGUAUAUAAAGUCAGUGUUUGUUAACAUACAAUUCAUUUUAAAAUUGUAUUUAUUUAUUAUUUUUAUAUUUAUUAAAUUGGAGUGACAGAAUUUAUAGAAAUGAAUACUCUUAUUGUCAAGGCCUGUUUUCAAACUGAUGACCCUUCUGGUCCAGGCAUUGUUGAUGAUGUGAAGCAAUGGAAUUGCAAACGUCAGUAAUCAUUUCAUUUGGUAUUUGUAUCUCUUCACUUUGUUGAUUGUUGCUAUAAACUUUGUCUUUUAUGCUUCCCCAUAAGAAAAGUCUAGCGGCACUUUAGGAUGAGUUUUCUUUGUUCAAAGCUUUUUCUGGCCCACCCAUUAUUCAUAUCAGUUACACCUGAAAAGGAGUGAAAAUUAAGUGAGUUAUCAGCUGUUAGAGCAUGCAUACAUUUUUGAAGACACCCUGUAUCUAAAUAAAUACCAAUUCAGACUCUUGAACACCUGCAUGCAUAUAAACACCUGGAGAAACCAAGUGUAAGAAACUAGUUGGUUGUUAUAUAUAUUGGCAUUGCUCUAUUUAAAGUGGUUUUAAAGUAUUCUAUACCUUUUUCUUGGAAAUAGUUUUCUCAUCUCUAAUGAGAGUUUCUAUAAAAUAACUGCUUCAACUUUUAAUUUCCUUAAAUUUGUCUUAAUUUUUAAGUUCUUAAUCUCAGAUUUUUAUUUUAUUUUACUGUGCCAAGUGUUAAGUUCUGAAAUUUAAUUUCCCCUUCAUUUAAAAAAAAAUAACUUUAUUUAUAUCAUGUUAUAUGUUUUCUCAGAUUGUCUUUGCCCUAUGUCUUUUCCGUUGCAUGUUUUAUAAAGAACCCCUCCCAUUUUUUUCCAAAGAAAAAAAACUCUUCUGUUUUCUUCCUAAAUAAAUACAUAUUUGUGUAAAUACAUACAGGCAUAUUUGAGAUUUGUUAAGAUCCAGGUUGGGUAAAUAUUAACACUUUUCCAAGUGCCUCCUUUACCUGAAUAUUUUUUAGGGAGCUUAUAUGCUAAGAUACUCAUUCUUGAUGCAGAAUGAUGGGAUAGAGGCAACUGGGUAAAGAUGUGAAAAGGAUAACAUUGCAUAACCUAUGCCUAAAUGUAUUCAUUCACAGCUCUGCAAAUGACUCAAGGAAUACUGCUUUAUUUAGGAUUUCUCAGUUUGGGAUAGAAAAUUGAAAUGUGUUUUUUUUAUUUUAUUUUUUUCCAGAAACUUCACAUUUUGUAAUCUAUCUCUUGGAUGGUGAUAAUAGAUGGUAUCUUCCCCCAAAGAGCCACCUUAUAUCUGAUAGACCUGAGGGUUAUCUAGCAAUUCUUGUCAUGUUGGAUAAAAUUUAUUUCAUUAUAUGCUUAAAACAUCACCUUUAUCCCAUUACGGAUUUACAUGAUGGUUGUUGCCAUCUGGUAAACCCUAACCCUGGGUAUCACAUGGGUAAUCCUGAGGAAGACCGAGUCUCAUCACUCCCUUCCCCCACAGCUGGAUCAGAAUUCAUGUCUUAACAAGAUCCAGUAAUUCAUGUACACAUUAAAUUUCAGAACACUGUUCUGCACUUACUAUUUUUACUUCAUAACCUCCCACUUACUCUCUAAUUCAUUGUUUUUAAUCUACCAGUCUUAUGAAAGACAUAAUGACCUACUAAUAGCUAACCACACACACUGCUUCAUAGCCUUUGUCAUACAUUUUCAGCAUGUACCAUCUUGAUGGUUAGUCAGUUCAAUAAGGUCUGUCAAGAUUACACUAUGGAAAGCAGUUUUAUCUCAUUUCACCCCAGAAAGCCCUUUUAUUGGGCCUUCGCUCUCCCUACAUUCCUUGACUGGAGCAAUCAUGCUAACGGACCUAGAAAUCUUAUUGCCAUGAGAAGGGACUAGGAAUGUGUAACCUGUGAGGAAUGUCAGGGAUACAAAGAUUGUUGUUCUUAAAUGUCUAAAGGCUUUUGGACUCAAAGGAAUUUUUUUUUUUUUUCAGUGUAGGUUUAGGAAAGCAAAAGUAGCAACAAUGAAUGAGCAGACAUUAAAGAGAGAUAGAUUUUGCAUGUAUAUAAAAAAGAAUUUUUAAAAGAAUUUUAAUAUUUCAACAAUGGAAUGUAAUUCUUCCAACUACUUGUAUUUAGUAAGCUGACUAUCCUUGGACAUCAUCCACAGAAGUGCUCAAUCCAAGGCCUCAGGGAAUACUGAAGGGUUCACUGGAGAGAGAAACAAGUGGGUGGUUUCUGCACAUUCUUCUAAUAUUUAUUUUGUUGUUGCUGCUGCAAAAAAAGAGAAAGAAUGCUACUGUGCAUACUCUAUUUAUUUUUCCCCUCUUAACCAGUAAUGAUACAUAGAUUUUUUCCCCCCUCCCUUUCUUAGGAAUUAGAAUGCUAUAUGGUUGUCUCUGUAUGGGCCACAGCUUUCUAUGAGGAUAGUGAUUAGGAUGCAUACCGCUUCCAAUUUCAUAUCAGUACUUUUUCUGUGAUGUUCAGUGCUUUGUGAUCAUUUUAUUCGAAGGAGACAGUUGGGCCAAAUCUCUAGUGAAUGGUAUUUGGAAACUCCUAGAUCUCUAAGUUCUACUUAUAUGUUGUAACUAUUAGCUCAUAGUCAGAUAUAGUAUCAUCAUUUUGAUCAUCACAGACAAACAUAUUUGUAUUUUUGUGCCCAUUAAAAAUGUUACAUUUUUGCAUUGAUUCCCUUUUGCCUAGUUCUUAAAACAUAGACAUAGGGAAACCUUUUUAAGUUAAAUGUUAGGCCAUUAACCUACUGUUUUUUACCAUGGAUAUGUGUUCUAUUGGGGAAGUCAAGAAUUUAGAUACUAAUCAUUUUAGACAUAUAACGAUCCUCCAAAAUGUUUCUAUCUUUCCAUCUUAUUGCUGCCUCCCCAGUUCAAAUAUCUUCAUCUCACACCUGGAACUAUGCAGGGGCCUCCCAACUUGUUUCUCUGCUUCUGCCCACUUCAGGAUGUGCUCACCACAGUAGCUGCCUGAUCCUCUACAAACUUAAGUCUCAUAAGUAGACAUCCCAGAAUCAAUCAGGGUUUAAACCAGAAAAAAAAACUUUAGAGAUCAACCUGAUUUUAAGUUAUUAAUUUGGAAUGUGAGUAAGGAAUCAUUGGGUUCCAUCUACCGCUCUUGAUAUUAUCUGCUACAGGAAAGGACUGAGAAUACAUUCCUUUAUUGAAAAUAUCAUUGCAAAAUAGCACACACAGAUACAAAGUCGUUCUUGUGUGUGUCUUCCCUUUUUCUCUGUGUGGAGCUGGAAAGCAGUGAGC